CCUACGGGAGGCAGCAGUGAGGAAUAUUGGUCAAUGGACGAGAGUCUGAACCAGCCAAGUAGCGUGAAGGAUGACUGUCCUAUGGGUUGUAAACUUCUUUUAUAUGGGAAUAAUAUGUUCCACGUGUGGGAGUUUGUAUGUACCAUAUGAAUAAGGAUCGGCUAACUCCGUGCCAGCAGCCGCGGUAAUACGGAGGAUCCGAGCGUUAUCCGGAUUUAUUGGGUUUAAAGGGAGCGUAGGUGGAUUGUUAAGUCAGUUGUGAAAGUUUGCGGCUAAACCGUAAAAUUGCAGUUGAAACUGGCAGUCUUGAGUACAGUAGAGGUGAGCGGAAUUCGUGGUGUAGCGGUGAAAUGCUUAGAUAUCACGAAGAACUCCGAUUGCGAAGGCAGCUCACUGGACUGCAACUGACACUGAGGCUCGAAAGUGUGGGUAUCAAACAGGAUUAGAUACCCGUGUAGUC
This 460-nucleotide ribosomal RNA is filed under the name uncultured bacterium. RNAcentral describes it as "partial 16S ribosomal RNA". It matches the Rfam family "Bacterial small subunit ribosomal RNA", at positions 338 to 795 of the family's 1533-position model. The record is from RNAcentral.